RNAcentral lists this ribosomal RNA (465 nucleotides) under uncultured bacterium. RNAcentral's name for it is "partial 16S ribosomal RNA". It matches the Rfam family "Bacterial small subunit ribosomal RNA", at positions 28 to 507 of the family's 1533-position model. The record is from RNAcentral.
GACGAACGCUGGCGGCGUGCUUAACACAUGCAAGUCGAACGCUGAACCCGCUUCGGUGGGGGAUGAGUGGCGAACGGGUGAGUAACACGUGGGCAACCUGCCCUCGUCUCUGGGAUAACUCCAAGAAAUUGGGGCUAAUACCGGAUGUGACCGCUUGCUGCAUGGUCUGGUUUUGGCAAGUUUUUCCGGCUGGGGUUGUGUCCGCGGUAUAUCAGGUGGUUGGUGGGGUAGUGGCCUACCAAGGCGAGGAAGGGUAGCCGGCCUGAGAGGGUGACCGGCCACACUGGGAGAGAAAAAAGGCCCAAACUCCAAAGGGGGGCAGCGGGGGGGAAUAUUGAGCAAUGGGCGGAAGCCUGACGCAGCGACGAGGCGGGGGGGAUGACGACCUUCGGGUUGAAAACGUCUAUCGGCAGGGACGAAGCGGAAGUGAAGGUACCUGCAGAAGAAGCACCGGCCAACUACGUG